This 434-nucleotide ribosomal RNA is filed under the name uncultured bacterium. Its description in RNAcentral is "partial 16S ribosomal RNA". It matches the Rfam family "Bacterial small subunit ribosomal RNA", at positions 29 to 507 of the family's 1533-position model. The record is from RNAcentral.
AGCGAACGCUGGCGGCAGGCCUAACACAUGCAAGUCGAACGAACCUUUCGGGGUUAUUGGCGGACGGGUGAGUAACACGUGGGAACGUGCCUUUAGGUUCGGAAUAACUCAGGGAAACUUGUGCUAAUACCGAAUGUGCCCUUCGGGGGAAAGAUUAAUCGCCUUUAGAGCGGCCCGCGUCUGAUUAGCUAGUUGGUUGAGGUAAUGGCUCACCAAGGCGACGAUCAGUAGCUGGUCUGAGAGGAUGAUCAGCCACAUUGGGACUGAGACACGGCCCAAACUCCUACGGGAGGCAGCAGAGGGGAAUCUUGCGCAAUGGGCGAAAGCCUGACGCAGCCAUGCCGCGUGAAUGAUGAAGGUCUUAGGAUUGUAAAAUUCUUUCACCGGGGACGAUAAUGACGGUACCCGGAGAAGAAGCCCCGGCUAACUUCGUG